ACACAGUGAAUGAAAAACCAUGUCUGACUGAAACCAUUUCUUGGUUGUCUAUUGGGGAGGCUAGAGGAAGUAUCCUUUUGAAAAUGGUGGUCAAUAAAC
This is a long non-coding RNA of Thalassophryne amazonica, 99 nucleotides long. RefSeq lists it as uncharacterized. Lineage: Eukaryota; Metazoa; Chordata; Actinopteri; Batrachoidiformes; Batrachoididae. The transcript has 3 exons. The record is from RefSeq and is a predicted model, not a curated record.